RNAcentral lists this small RNA (518 nucleotides) under uncultured Entrophospora. Its description in RNAcentral is "SSU rRNA". It matches the Rfam family "Eukaryotic small subunit ribosomal RNA", at positions 569 to 1083 of the family's 1831-position model. The record is from RNAcentral. Lineage: Eukaryota; Fungi; Glomeromycota; Glomeromycetes; Entrophosporales; Entrophosporaceae.
AGCAGCCGCGGUAAUUCCAGCUCCAAUAGCGUAUAUUAAAGUUGUUGCAGUUAAAAAGCUCGUAGUUGAAUUUCGGGAUUGACGUGAUGGUCGUGCCUUACGGGGUAUGAACUGUUGCAGUCAAUUUCUCACCUUCUGGAGAAAUAUGAUGUCCUUAAUUGGGUGUCAUAUGGAACCAGAACUUUUACCUUGAAAAAAUUAGAGUGUUUAAAGCAGGCUUAUUGCUCGAAUACAUUAGCAUGGAAUAAUAAAAUAGGACGGCAUGGUUCUAUUUUGUUGGUUUCUAGGAUCACCGUAAUGAUUAAUAGGGAUAGUUGGGGGCAUUAGUAUUCAAUUGUCAGAGGUGAAAUUCUUGGAUUUAUUGAAGACUAACUACUGCGAAAGCAUUUGCCAAGGAUGUUUUCAUUAAUCAAGAACGAAAGUUAGGGGAUCGAAGACGAUCAGAUACCGUCGUAGUCUUAACCAUAAACUAUGCCGACUAGGAAUCAGACGAUGUUAAUUUUUAAUGACUCGUUUGG